UGGUGUUAAAAGCCAUUGAGUUUGUUGAGAGUAGCGGAACGGAUAGGGAGCAUGGUAUAGGUGGGCAAAGAAUGAAAUCUCAAGACCCCACCUGGACCAACGGAGGCGAAAGCGAUGCUCUUAAGGGUAUCUGGGGAUCAAGGACGAAGGCUAGAGUAUCGAAAGUGAUUAGACACCGCUGUAGUUCUAGCAGUAAACUAUGCCGACAAUGCUGGGUGUUGCGAGAGCG
RNAcentral lists this ribosomal RNA (229 nucleotides) under Ecytonucleospora hepatopenaei. Its description in RNAcentral is "Enterocytozoon hepatopenaei partial small subunit ribosomal RNA". It matches the Rfam family "Microsporidia small subunit ribosomal RNA", at positions 493 to 723 of the family's 1311-position model. Lineage: Eukaryota; Fungi; Microsporidia; Enterocytozoonidae. The record is from RNAcentral.